Molecule: non-coding RNA, 31 nt
Filed under: Homo sapiens (human)
Lineage: Eukaryota; Metazoa; Chordata; Mammalia; Primates; Hominidae
Source: RNAcentral
UGCCAGUGGAUGCCAGCUCUGAGGGAGGCAC